AGUGGCGAACGGGUGAGUAACACGUGGGCAACCUGCCCAAAANAGGGGGAUAACACUUGGAAACAGGUGCUAAUACCGCAUAACCAUAGUUACCGCAUGGUAACUAUGUAAAAGGUGGCUAUGCUACCGCUUUUGGAUGGGCCCGCGGCGCAUUAGCUAGUUGGUGGGGUAAAGGCUUACCAAGGCAAUGAUGCGUAGCCGAACUGAGAGGUUGAUCGGCCACAUUGGGACUGAGACACGGCCCAAACUCCUACGGAAGGCAGCAG
RNAcentral lists this ribosomal RNA (266 nucleotides) under uncultured bacterium. RNAcentral describes it as "partial 16S ribosomal RNA". It matches the Rfam family "Bacterial small subunit ribosomal RNA", at positions 94 to 354 of the family's 1533-position model. The record is from RNAcentral.